UACGUAGGGUGCGAGCGUUGUCCGGAAUUAUUGGGCGUAAAGAGCUUGUAGGCGGUUUGUCGCGUCUGCCGUGAAAAUCCGGGGCUCAACCCCGGACUUGCGGUGGGUACGGGCAGACUAGAGUGUGGUAGGGGAGACUGGAAUUCCUGGUGUAGCGGUGAAAUGCGCAGGUAUCAGGAGGAACACCGAUGGCGAAGGCAGGUCUCUGGGCCACUACUGACGCUGAGAAGCGAAAGCGUGGGGAGCGAACAGG
RNAcentral lists this ribosomal RNA (253 nucleotides) under uncultured bacterium. RNAcentral's name for it is "partial 16S ribosomal RNA". It matches the Rfam family "Bacterial small subunit ribosomal RNA", at positions 524 to 776 of the family's 1533-position model. The record is from RNAcentral.